Molecule: ribosomal RNA, 678 nt
Filed under: uncultured equine intestinal eubacterium sp. DW04
Lineage: Bacteria
Description: bacterial SSU rRNA
Rfam family: Bacterial small subunit ribosomal RNA
Source: RNAcentral
AUGCCGUAAACGAUGAUUACUAGGUGUUGGGGGAUUGACCCCCUCAGUGCCGCAGUUAACACAAUAAGUAAUCCACCUGGGGAGUACGGCCGCAAGGCUGAAACUCAAAGGAAUUGACGGGGGCCCGCACAAGCAGUGGAGUAUGUGGUUUAAUUCGAAGCAACGCGAAGAACCUUACCAGGUCUUGACAUCGGAUGACAGCCCUAGAGAUAGGGUCUUUCUUCGGAACAUCCAGACAGGUGGUGCAUGGUUGUCGUCAGCUCGUGUCGUGAGAUGUUGGGUUAAGUCCCGCAACGAGCGCAACCCUUAUCGUCAGUUACUACGCAAGAGGACUCUGGCGAGACUGCCGUUGAUAAAACGGAGGAAGGUGGGGAUGACGUCAAAUCAUCAUGCCCUUUAUGACCUGGGCUACACACGUACUACAAUGGCGUUUAACAAAGAGAACCGAUACCGCGAGGUGGAGGAAAACUCAAAAACAACGUCCCAGUUCAGACUGCAGGCUGCAACUCGCCUGCACGAAGUCGGAAUUGCUAGUAAUCGCGGAUCAGCAUGCCGCGGUGAAUACGUUCCCGGGCCUUGUACACACCGCCCGUCACACCAUGAGAGCCGGGGGGACCCGAAGUCCGUAGCCUAACCGCAAGGAGGGCGCGGCCGAAGGUAAAACUGGUGAUUGGGGUG